AUGUGGAAGCGCGCCGCCUCCCUCCUCCUCGCCCGCCGCACGGCCCUCGCCGCGCAGCGCGCCCCGGCGAUCUCGGGAUCCGCCGCGGGCGCCACCCGCCGCGCGCCCGCCUUCUUCUCCACCCUCGAUGCGGGGCAGGCGAGGACGCGGGUCGAGGACGUGAUGCCGAUCGCCACGGGGCACGAGCGCGAGGAGAUCGAGGCCGAGCUCCAGGGAAAGAAGCGGUUUGACAUGGACGCCCCCGUCGGCCCAUUCGGCACCAAGGAAGAUCCAGCUAUCAUUCAGUCAUACUUUGACAAAAGGAUUGUUGGUUGCCCUGGCGGUGAAGGAGAGGAUGAGCAUGAUGUUGUGUGGUUUUGGUUGAAGAAAGGCGAGCCACAUGAAUGCCCAGUCUGCACUCAGUAUUUCAAGCUUGAGGUUAUUGGGAACGGAGGAAACCCUGACGGACAUGAUGAUGACGAUGACCACCACCACCAUUAA
RNAcentral lists this ribosomal RNA (480 nucleotides) under Triticum aestivum (bread wheat). Its description in RNAcentral is "partial small subunit ribosomal RNA". Lineage: Eukaryota; Viridiplantae; Streptophyta; Magnoliopsida; Poales; Poaceae. The record is from RNAcentral.